This 2526-nucleotide long non-coding RNA is filed under the name Marmota monax (woodchuck). The record is from RNAcentral. Lineage: Eukaryota; Metazoa; Chordata; Mammalia; Rodentia; Sciuridae.
GUCAUUGUAUUUAUAGUACAACUAAAUGUUUAGAAUUUUGGGUGUGGGGGUAAUGAUAUGGUUUAAAUAGUGUGUUGAUGUCUUUACCUAAAUUGCUUUUAUUUUAUAGAGAAAACUCUCAAAAUGGGAUAGGAAGGAAGAGCAUGAGAAGAAGAAUACCACUAAAUAGGGAAGAGAGGUGGGAGGGAAAAAGAGGGAGAAAGGGAGUUGCAUGGAAGAUGAAAGGAGAACCUCAUCGUUAUACAGAAUACAUAUAUGCUGUUGUAAUAUCAUGUGUAGAUAAUAAAAAAAGAAAUAGACAUUAAUGAUGCUACAGGAAAAAAAAGAAAAAACAGUUGAGAAUUUAUUAGUACUUGUCAUAAUGAUUUGUUAGGUUUUAGAUAAUGUAAACAGUUUGUUUGGUAAGAAGUAGUUGGUAAGAUAUUUAUCUUUGAUUUUUUUCUGAAGGUGAGUUUUAUGUAGGAAUCUGUACUUUAGGAUCACAUGGUGUUGUGUACAGAGUGUCCAGGGAGCAAUUAGGAGGGCAUUCUGUUAAAUCUUUUGCCUCGAGACAAGACCAUUAGGUGAACUGUGUAUGAGCCUCAAGGGGUGUAAACCAAAUAAUUCAUGUAGUCAUCCGUUUCCUUUCAUAUUGAGGUAUCUAAAACCUUUAAAUCUGUAUGAAUCUAAGAAAGUUUACCUGUUAGAUCCAGCAGUUAUCCUCUAUCACUUGAUUAUUUUUGAGAAAGUAUUAUUUCAGAAUUUGUAACUUAUUGAUUGAACAUUAGGCACUUGAACCUUGAAUUGCAUUUUCCAUUUUGAUGUGAGUAUCCUGAAAGUUUCCUUAUGAUUAAAUAUACGCAAAUCUUUUCUGUAAUCUAUUUUAUGUCAGCAGAAAAGGUAUUUUUGUUGAUUUAUUAAUUAUUUUUCAGGGUUAAUAAAUUCCAUCAAAGGAUGACUGAGAUUUCUCACUACCAUAUUCUUAUGUUCUCUCAAAACACUACCAUAUUCUUAUGUUCUCUCAAAGCACCAGGUUCAGAUGUUCACUUUUCCUGAGCUCUAGACUCCUAUAGUGUGAUUGUUCACUGCAUUUGACUUGCAUGUCAAACUUGAAUCUCAAGACUAUUUUCCUUCCAAACCUAUCUCUCCCUAUUUGUUCCCUAGUUCUGUAAAUGGUACCACCAGCCACUGAGUUGCUCAAGCCAGAAAAUUAUCAAUAUCUUAUCAUUUUUACCUCCUGUAUAUCUCUUAAGUGAAUCCUCUCUUCAUCAUCACCACCACUACACUAAGUCCAAUCACUAUGGCUGAUUCACUGUAGUAACUUUUUCCUCUGUAACUUACCCUUGCCACCCUAUGACUGACCUCCUGACACUGUAACUAAGUGGUCUGUUAAGCAGUUAUGAGCAUGUUUUUUUUCCUGUUUAAAGUCUCUUACUGAUUUUUUUUUUAUCAUUCUUAAGACCAAAGUCUGCCUACUAACCUUUCAUGAUCUGUCCUGCCAACUUAUAUUUUUCUCCCCCCACCCUUUAACAGAAAACGUUGUGUUUUGAUAUCUAAGGUUUUUAGCAUCAAAAUGAUAGGAUAUAGAAGAAGGGAAUGCUUUGGUUUUAAAAUAAAAAUUAUUGGUUAUAAAUGUGAUUGUUCUUUGGGUUGGGAAUGUAGCUCAGUUGUAGAGCACUUGCCUCACAUGCCCUAGGUUCUAUUUACUGCACUGCAAAAAAAAAAAAAAAUUGUUUUUUAUCUUUAUGUACUCAAUUCAUGUAGUCCCCGGAGUUUAUGCACAUGAGUAUCAAAUGAUAUGGCUUUCGUCAGUGUUUAUAAACCAUAAAAUAUAAAUGUAAAAUAUCAUUUCUCUUUACUUUUUUGUUCCCAUCCAUCCUUUCUUUUGCUUCUACUCUACAUAUUGAUAAAAAGAUGCUAUGUGUGGCAAUAAUUUUAUAGGAAUAUUGGCAUAAAAUGAUCAUAAUUUUCCAAUUUGGAAUGUUUUUUGGAUGGAAACUUAGGAAACAGUCUAUAAAAUAAAUGAUUAUGAUAGAAGUGAUUUAUAUUCAGAAUAAAUGAUUGCUUAGGACCUGUCUGGAUCAUCUGUAAUCUUUUUCAAUUCUUUAUGUCUGCAUGGUUAGCUUUCAUGUUAAGAAAAGAUAUGAUGACUGUAGAAUUGUUUCCUACUUAUAUUUAAUUUAUGGCUAAACUUAGGGAAUAUGCUACUUCAACAUUUGUUGAACAGUUCUUUUUUUUUUAAAUAUAUUUUUUAGUUGUCGAUAGACCUUUAUUUAUUUAUAUGUGGUGCUGAGAAUCGAAUCCAGUGCUUUACACAUGCCAGGAACCACUGAACCACAGCCACAGCCCUCAACAGUUAUUUGACAUCCAUUUUUAUACAGCCCUCCUGGCUGUAGAGGGAAGGUCAAUGGGAAACACUACAUUAGCUGUGAGAGACUGUCAUCUUGUGAUUGGAGACAUACUGAUAUGAAAUACAAAUGCUUUAGAUAAGGCAUGGAAAACACCAUUUCUAAUCUGGUGGAAUGAAAUUGCCAAGUAUUGGGAUUG